Molecule: ribosomal RNA, 346 nt
Filed under: Orobdella kawakatsuorum
Lineage: Eukaryota; Metazoa; Annelida; Clitellata; Hirudinida; Orobdellidae
Description: partial 12S ribosomal RNA
Rfam family: Bacterial small subunit ribosomal RNA
Source: RNAcentral
UAUUAAUCUAAAAUAAGAUUGGAGACUACGAGCAAUAGCUUAAAAACCCAAGGAUUUGGCGGUGUCUUAUUCAAUCAGGGGAACCUGCACCUGAAAUCGAUAGUCCACGUUAAACUUUACCUAAUUUUGAUUACUUAAGCUUGUGUACUGCCGUUUAAUAGGCUCUUAAGGCUCCCUAUAAGAAAUAUAAAAAUUACACGUCAGGUCAAAGUGCAGCUUAUAAUUAGGAGGAUGUGGGUUACAUUUCAAAAAGAUAGGGUACUUAUAAAAUAAUAAUUAUAAAACUAGGACUUGAUAGUAAUUAUAAAAAAUAUUAUAAUAUAAUGAAUAUGAACUUAAGACAAGC